CAAAAUCCGCAUGGAUUUUGUUUGAAAGGUGGCUUCGGCUAUCACUUCUGGAUGAUCCCGCGGCGUAUUAGUUAGUUGGUGAGGUAAAGGCCCACCAAGACGAUGAUACGUAGCCGACCUGAGAGGGUAAUCGGCCACAUUGGGACUGAGACACGGCCCAAACUCCUACGGGAGGCAGCAGUAGGGAAUCUUCCACAAUGGACGAAAGUCUGAUGGAGCAAUGCCGCGUGAGUGAAGAAGGGUUUCGGCUCGUAAAACUCUGUUGUUAAAGAAGAACACCUUUGAGAGUAACUGUUCAAGGGUUGACGGUAUUUAACCAGAAAGCCACGGCUAACUACGUGCCAGCAGCCGCGGUAAUACGUAGGUGGCAAGCGUUGUCCGGAUUUAUUGGGCGUAAAGCGAGCGCAGGCGGUUUUUUAAGUCUGAUGUGAAAGCCUUCGGCUUAACCGGAGAAGUGCAUCGGAAACUGGGAGACUUGAGUGCAGAAGAGGACAGUGGAACUCCAUGUGUAGCGGUGGAAUGCGUAGAUAUAUGGAAGAACACCAGUGGCGAAGGCGGCUGUCUAGUCUGUAACUGACGCUGAGGCUCGAAAGCAUGGGUAGCGAACAGGAUUAGAUACCCUGGUAGUCCAUGCCGUAAACGAUGAGUGCUAAGUGUUGGAGGGUUUCCGCCCUUCAGUGCUGCAGCUAACGCAUUAAGCACUCCGCCUGGGGAGUACGACCGCAAGGUUGAAACUCAAAGGAAUUGACGGGGGCCCGCACAAGCGGUGGAGCAUGUGGUUUAAUUCGAAGCUACGCGAAGAACCUUACCAGGUCUUGACAUCUUCUGCCAAUCUUAGAGAUAAGACGUUCCCUUCGGGGACAGAAUGACAGGUGGUGCAUGGUUGUCGUCAGCUCGUGUCGUGAGAUGUUGGGUUAAGUCCCGCAACGAGCGCAACCCUUAUUAUCAGUUGCCAGCAUUCAGUUGGGCACUCUGGUGAGACUGCCGGUGACAAACCGGAGGAAGGUGGGGAUGACGUCAAAUCAUCAUGCCCCUUAUGACCUGGGCUACACACGUGCUACAAUGGACGGUACAACGAGUUGCGAAGUCGUGAGGCUAAGCUAAUCUCUUAAAGCCGUUCUCAGUUCGGAUUGUAGGCUGCAACUCGCCUACAUGAAGUUGGAAUCGCUAGUAAUCGCGGAUCAGCAUGCCGCGGUGAAUACGU
Molecule: ribosomal RNA, 1204 nt
Filed under: Heyndrickxia coagulans
Lineage: Bacteria; Bacillati; Bacillota; Bacilli; Caryophanales; Bacillaceae
Also listed under: 1 other name
Description: bacterial SSU rRNA
Rfam family: Bacterial small subunit ribosomal RNA
Source: RNAcentral